Molecule: ribosomal RNA, 337 nt
Filed under: Salmonella enterica subsp. enterica serovar Kentucky
Lineage: Bacteria; Pseudomonadati; Pseudomonadota; Gammaproteobacteria; Enterobacterales; Enterobacteriaceae
Description: bacterial SSU rRNA
Rfam family: Bacterial small subunit ribosomal RNA
Source: RNAcentral
AAAUUGAAGAGUUUGAUCAUGGCUCAGAUUGAACGCUGGCGGCAGGCCUAACACAUGCAAGUCGAACGGUAGCACAGAGAGCUUGCUCUCGGGUGACGAGUGGCGGACGGGUGAGUAAUGUCUGGGAAACUGCCCGAUGGAGGGGGAUAACUACUGGAAACGGUAGCUAAUACCGCAUAACGUCGCAAGACCAAAGUGGGGGACCUUCGGGCCUCACACCAUCGGAUGUGCCCAGAUGGGAUUAGCUAGUAGGUGGGGUAACGGCUCACCUAGGCGACGAUCCCUAGCUGGUCUGAGAGGAUGACCAGCCACACUGGAACUGAGACACGGUCCAGAC